This 253-nucleotide ribosomal RNA is filed under the name uncultured bacterium. RNAcentral's name for it is "partial 16S ribosomal RNA". It matches the Rfam family "Bacterial small subunit ribosomal RNA", at positions 524 to 776 of the family's 1533-position model. The record is from RNAcentral.
UACGAACUGUGCGAACGUUAUUCGGAAUCACUGGGCUUACAGGGUGCGUAGGCGGCCUUUCAAGUCAGGUGUGAAAUCCCACAGCUCAACUGUGGAAUGGCGCUUGAAACUGGAGGGCUGGAGUCAGCUAGAGGUGCACGGAACUUCCGGUGGAGCGGUGAAAUGUGUUGAUAUCGGAAGGAACACCAGAGGCGAAAGCGGUGCACUGGGGCUGUUCUGACGCUGAGGCACGAAAGCCAGGGGAGCGAACGGG